GGGAAGUUGGCUCAGUGGUAGAGCACUUGCCUUGCAUGCAUGAAGCCCUGAGUUUGAUUUCUCA
Molecule: transfer RNA, 64 nt
Filed under: Dipodomys ordii (Ord's kangaroo rat)
Lineage: Eukaryota; Metazoa; Chordata; Mammalia; Rodentia; Heteromyidae
Rfam family: tRNA
About the family: Transfer RNA (tRNA) molecules are approximately 80 nucleotides in length. Their secondary structure includes four short double-helical elements and three loops (D, anti-codon, and T loops).
Source: Rfam by way of RNAcentral